AGAGUUUGAUCCUGGCUCAGAACGUACGCUGGCGGCACGCCUAAUACAUGCAAGUCGAACGAAGUAGCAAUACUUAGUGGCAGACGGGUGAGUAACAUGUAGGUAUCUACCCUUUGGCCUGGAAUAACACGAGGAAACUUGUGCUAAUACCGGAUAAGUCUUUACGGAGAAAGCUUUAUGCACCAUUGGAUGAGCCUGCACUUGAUUAGUUUGUUGGUGGGGUAAUGGCCUACCAAGACAAUGAUCAAUAGCUGAUUUGAGAGGAUGAUCAGCCACAUUGGGACUGAGACACGGCCCAAACUCCUACGGGAGGCAGCAGUAGGGAAUCUUGCACAAUGGAGGAAACUCUGAUGCAGCGAUGCCGCGUGAGUGAAGAAGGCCUUUGGGUUGUAAAGCUCUUUCGUCGGGGAAGAAAAUGACUGUACCCGAAUAAGAAGGUCCGGCUAACUUCGUGCCAGCAGCCGCGGUAAUACGAAGGGACCUAGCGUAGUUCGGAAUUACUGGGCUUAAAGAGUUCGUAGGUGGUUAAAAAAGUUGGUGGUGAAAUCCCAGAGCUUAACUCUGGAACUGCCAUCAAAACUUUUUAGCUAGAGUAUGGUAGAGGAAAGCAGAAUUUCUAGUGUAGAGGUGAAAUUCGUAGAUAUUAGAAAGAAUACCGAUUGCGAAGGCAGCUUUCUGGAUCAUUACUGACACUGAGGAACGAAAGCAUGGGUAGCGAAGAGGAUUAGAUACCCUCGUAGUCCAUGCCGUAAACGAUGUGUGUUAGACGUUGGAAAUUUAUUUUCAGUGUCGCAGCGAAAGCGAUAAACACACCGCCUGGGGAGUACGACCGCAAGGUUAAAACUCAAAUGAAUUGACGGGGACCCGCACAAGUAGUGGAGCAUGUGGUUUAAUUCGAAGAUACGCGCAGAACCUUACCAACACUUGACAUGUUCGUCGCGACUCUAAGAGAUUAGAGUUUUCGGUUCGGCCGGACGAAACACAGGUGCUGCAUGGCUGUCGUCAGCUCGUGUCGUGAGAUGUUGGGUUAAGUCCCGCAACGAGCGCAACCCUCACUUUUAGUUGCCAUCAUUUAGUUGGGCACUCUGAAAGAACUGCCAGUGAUAAGCUGGAGGAAGGUGGGGAUGACGUCAAGUCCUCAUGGCCCUUAUGUGUUGGGCUACACACGUGCUACAAUGGUAUCUACAACAGGAAGCAAGAUGGCAACAUUAAGCAAAUCCUAAAAAGAUAUCUCAGUUCGGAUUGCACUCUGCAACUCGAGUGCAUGAAGCUGGAAUUACUAGUAAUCGUGGAUCAGCGUGCCACGGUGAAUACGUUCCCGGGUCUUGUACACACCGCCCGU
Molecule: ribosomal RNA, 1342 nt
Filed under: uncultured bacterium
Lineage: Bacteria
Description: bacterial SSU rRNA
Rfam family: Bacterial small subunit ribosomal RNA
Source: RNAcentral